This 728-nucleotide ribosomal RNA is filed under the name uncultured Ceratobasidium. RNAcentral describes it as "eukaryotic LSU rRNA". The stretch from base 280 to 433 matches the Rfam family "5.8S ribosomal RNA". Lineage: Eukaryota; Fungi; Basidiomycota; Agaricomycetes; Cantharellales; Ceratobasidiaceae. The record is from RNAcentral.
UCUUGGUCAUUUAGAGGAAGUAAAAGUCGUAACAAGGUUUCCGUAGGUGAACCUGCGGAAGGAUCAUUAUUGAAUGAAUGUAGAGUCGGUUGUAGCUGGCCUUUAAUUGGGCAUGUGCACGCCUUCUCUUUCAUCCACACACACCUGUGCACCUGUGAGACGGGAGUCUUGUUUUUUUUUCUCUUGCAAGAGAGAGAGAGAAGAGAGGUUUCCGUCUGCCAACACACAAACUCAUAUAUUGUAAUCUGAAUGUAAAUUGAUGUAACGCAUCUAUGAACUAAGUUUCAACAACGGAUCUCUUGGCUCUCGCAUCGAUGAAGAACGCAGCGAAAUGCGAUAAGUAAUGUGAAUUGCAGAAUUCAGUGAAUCAUCGAAUCUUUGAACGCACCUUGCGCUCCUUGGUAUUCCUUGGAGCAUGCCUGUUUGAGUAUCAUGAAAUUAUCAAAACAAGUCUUUUGUUCAUUCAACUGGCUCUUUGUUUUGGACUUGGAGGUCUUGCAGAUUCACGUCUGCUCCUCUUGAAUGCAUUAGCUGGAUCUCAGUGAGCUCGGUUCCACUCGGCGUGAUAAGUAUCACUCGCUGAGGACACCCUCUAAAAAAAGGUGGCCGGGGUUGCAGAUGAACCGCUUCCAAUAGUCUGUUAGCUCAGACAGCUUUACUUUAUGAUCUGAUCUCAAAUCAGGUAGGACUACCCGCUGAACUUAAGCAUAUCAAUAAGCGGAGGAAAU